This 1814-nucleotide long non-coding RNA is filed under the name Fragaria vesca (wild strawberry). RNAcentral describes it as "long non-coding RNA (FVES_LNC005599)". Lineage: Eukaryota; Viridiplantae; Streptophyta; Magnoliopsida; Rosales; Rosaceae. The record is from RNAcentral.
CGUUUCAAUCCUGCCGAGCUCAAGGAUUGCAAUUUCGUGUCAAUCCUGGUACACAGUCACGAGCUGUAGUACAACAAAAUUCAAUGAUGGUGGGUCGUAGAUGAAUAGUAAAGCUGCAUGCAAAUAUUGCAUAGCCCCAAGACGCAAUAGAAAGAGUGGUGCGCAUCAAUAAUGUUCAAGCAACAAGCUAAAGUUGCUUGGUCGUAGCCUCGGUGAGACCGUAUUGCGUGUGAACAUGGGGUACAGGACACUUCAACUUACAUCCCGAUGAACUUCUUUAAAGAAUGGAUAGUGAGCCCGUAAAAGUAUAAGCAGCAUAAGCAGUAGAUAAUAGUGUAACACGUGACCAGUGUGUUAACACUUCAACCAACACCAUAAAGCAUAAAAGGUGUCCGCAAGUUGGUUGUAUCUAUCUACAUAAUUUUAUGUAAGAAUAGAAUGUUCACUUUUGUGUUAUUUAGCAUAGGAGGGUCUCACUCCUAAUUUAGCUAAAGAAUAGGCUUUCAAAAUGAGGAAUGAGCAUUGCAGGGGGUCAAUGCGACAUCGAGGGAAGGCCGAUACACCUCAAUUGCUUGAGGAAUUGACCGGACGACCUCCAGGAAGUUGGAGUCGUGUUCGGGUGACGUCAAUGUCCUCCGGGUCACCACCAUGCUUCAUGGUGAUGCUAGAUCUCGAAUGUCUUCGUUUUAAGCGGAAGAAUGGAUGUCCAUGAGAAUUUCUCAAAAUUUGGAUCAUUAUAUCUCUUCCAGGUUGACCAAUUUAGUCAAACCAAAGCCUAUAUGAGUCAGUGUCCCAAAUAUCAUGUUUGGCGACAGCAUGAGAUUCGAUAUUCGAAUCAUAGUGACAUACAGUUCACUAGAUUGACUCAUGAAUUUUUUCAAGAUGCGCUUCAGUCCGCAUUCAUGAGAAGGUAUACACAAAAGAAUUCUUGUUCAUUCUCACAAUGUGUUUUCAAAUGAAAACCAUUAGCAGGAAUGUCUUUAAAGCUCAAUAAGGUUCGAUUGCCUCUCAAUGCAUAGAGGGUAUCUGUGACAUUGAUCAUGGUGCCAUGAGACAUCAAGAUUUAAGCUAAACCGCGUCCUUGAAUGACCGGUAUGAUUCAAUCAUUGUAGUCACAGAAGAUUUACAAAGGCACAAAAUCCAAAGAUAGUUGCCGGUUCCUUAGAAUGUUGUGGAUAGUUCCACUAUCUGCGAAGCACUCAAUGUCUCGAUGAGACAUAUCUACAAGAAGGAGUAGAUAGGCUAGUUAAUAGUUCCACUUGAACCAUUUAGAAGGAUUGAAAGAAGCUACGAAAAGCUGCAAUCCCGAGAGUGCAUAAAAAUUUCCGCGCAGAAUGACCUUUGCGCACUAAAACAGCCAUAACUUCUUCGUUAAAAUAGAUAUGGACGAACCGUGAAACGUUCUGAAAACUAGACUCAUAGAGCUUUCCAAUGAUAUAAAGCUCACUGUCUAGUUCGUCCAGAGCUGUUCACAAAGCUCAAACGAAGUUGACUUUCCAGAAGGGACAGAUUGCUGUUUUUCGCAGAUUUGACAUGUGCGAAGCUGUGAAGCUUGCAGGUGGCGUGUAGGCUUUUGCCUUAGCCAAAAGUGACGUGUGUAUGAUCAAAACCAAGUCCUUUCGAUCGUUCUAAGGUCGUAAACUCCAUGACUAGUUAGCAAAAGCUCCCUGACAUGAACAUAAACUAACUCAGAGGACCUAGAGGAUCCGAUUAUGAUGAUAAUUUCCAGCUUGAUAAGUCUUCAACGUCUUUUGCAAGACGGCAAUUGGUUAAUAGCGUAGGGGGAUCCGAAAAUCAAAAGCUUACGGUAACUC